CACGUUAUCAUUCUUGUUAGUUCUAAGUGAAUUCCCUCGGUAUGAUAAUUUGUUCAUCAGUUUGUUCCCCGUUUCUUCUCUAGCCUGAGCCUGACACACUAUUCUAGCUAGACAUGGGUGUGGCUCGUAACACCUGAUGACCAAACGGAUCUACGACACCAUCGAAUCUCAAACUUUAACUACCAAAACUAUUGUUUUUCAUCCUCUAGUCCCUUUUAGAAUUACUAAACGUCCUUUUUUGGGCCGAGAUUUCCAGGAACGCUUUCUCGGGGUUUGUGUGCAUGUAUUUCAAACCAUACAGACCUAAAAAUUAGAAGUCAUUCCAUCUUUAUUCCCGUAGAGCCUUCCAGCAGUUCCUAAACCGCUCCAGUCGGAGCAUGUUAUCAUUCUUGUUUGUUCUGAGUGAAUUCCCUCGGUAUGAUAAUUCUAUCAUCAGUUUGUUCCCCGUUUCUUCUCUAGCCUGAGCCUGGCAAACUAUUCNNNNNNNNNNNNNNNNNNNNNNNNNNNNNNNNNNNNNNNNNNNNNNNNNNNNNNNNNNNNNNNNNNNNNNNNNNNNNNNNNNNNNNNNNNNNNNNNNNNNNNNNNNNNNNNNNNNNNNNNNNNNNNNNNNNNNNNNCUAAACCGCUCUAGUCGGAGCACGUUAUCAUUCUUGUUAGUUCUGAGUGAAUUCCCUCGGUAUGAUAAUUCUUUCAUCAGUUUGUUCCCUGUUUCUUCUCUAGCCUGAGCCUGACACACUAUUCUAGCUAGACAUGGGUGUGGCUCGUAACACCUAAUGACCAAACGGAUCGACGGCACCAUCGAAUCUCAAACUUUAACUGCCAAAACUAUUGUUUUUCAUCCUGUUGUCCCAUUUAGAAUUACUAAACGUCCUUUUUUGGGCCGAGAUUUAGAGGAACGCUUUCUCGGGGUUUGUGUGCAAGUAUUUCAAACCAUACGGACCUAAAAAUUAGAAGUCAUUCCAUCUUUAUUCCCCUAGAGCCUUCCAGCAGUUCCUAAACCGCUCAAGUCAGAGCAUGUUAUCAUUCUUGUUAGUUCUGAGUGAAUUCCCUCGGUAUGAUAAUUCUUUCAUCAGUUUGUUCCCUGUUUCUUCUCUAGCCUGAGCCUGACACACUAUUCUAGCUAGACAUGGGUGUGGCUCGUAACACCUGAUGACCAAACGGAUCUACGACACCAUUGAAUCUCAAACUUUAACUACCAAAACUAUUAUUUUUCAUCCUGUAGUCCCUUUUAGAAUUACUAAACGUCCUUUUUUGGGCCGAGAUUUCCAAGAACGCUUUCUCGUGGUUUGUGUGCAAGUAUUUCAAACCAUACAGACCUAAAAAUUAGAAGUCAUUCCAUCUUUAUGCCCGUAGAGCCUUCCAGCAGUUCCUAAACCGCUCCAGUCGGAGCACGUUAUCAUUCUUAUUAGUUCUGAGUGAAUUCCCUCAGUAUGAUAAUUCUUUCAUAAGUUUGUUCCCCAUUUCUUCUCUAGCCUGAGCCUGGCACACUAUUCUAGCUAGACAUGGGUGUGGCUCAUAACACUUGUUGACUAAAUGGAUCGACGGCACCAUCGAAUCUCAAACUUUAACUGCCAAAACUAUUGUUUUUCAUCCUGUAGUCCCAUUUAGAAUUAUUAAACGUCCUUUUUUGGGCCGAUAUUUAGAGUAAUGCUUUCUCGGGGUUUGUCUGCAAGUAUUUCAAACCAUACGGACCUAAAAAUUAGAAGUCAUUCCAUCUUUAUUCCCCUAGAGCCUUCCAGCAGUUCCUAAACCGCUCUAGUCGGAGCACGUUAUCAUUCUUGUUAGUUCUGAGUGAAUUCCCUCAGUAUGAUAAUUCUUUCAUCUGUUUGUUCCCCGUUUCUUCUCUAGCCUGAGCCUGACACACUAUUCAAGCUAGACAUGGAUGUGGCUCGUAACACCUGAUGACCAAACGGAUCUACGGCACCAUCGAAUCCCAAACUUUAACUGCCAAAACUAUUGUUUUUCAUCCUGUAGUCCCUUUUAGAAUUACUAAACGUCCUUUUUUGGGCCGAGAUUUCCAGGAAUGCUUUCUCGGGGUUUGUGUGCAAGUAUUUCAAACCAUACAAAGCUAGAAAUUAGAAGUCAUUCCAUCUUUAUUAUCGUAGAGCCUUCCAGCAGUUCCUAAACCGGUCUAGUCGGAGCACGUUAUCAUUCUAGUUAGUUCUGAGUGAAUUCCCUCGGUAUGAUAAUUCUUUCAUCAGUUUGUUCCCCGUUUCUUCUCUAGCCUGAGCCUGACAAACUAUUCUAGCUAGACAUGCGUGUGGCUCGUAACACCUGAUGACCAAACGGAUCUAUAGCACCAUCGAAUCUCAAACUUUAACUGCCAAAACUAUUGUUUUCAUCCUGUAGUCCCUUUUAGAAUUACUAAACUUCCUUUUUUGGGCCGAGAUUUAGAGGAACGCUUUCUGGGGUUUGUGUGCAAGUAUUUCAAACCAUACAGACCUAAAAAUUAGAAGUCAUUCCAUCUUUAUUCCCCUAGAGCCUUCCAGCAGUUCCUAAACCGCUCUAGUCGGAGCACGUUAUCAUUAUUGUUAGUUCUGAGUGAAUUCCCUCGGUAUGAUAAUUCUUUCAUCAGUUUGUUCCCUGUUUCUUCUCUAUCCUGAGCCUGACACACUAUUCUAGCUAGACAUGGGUGUGGCUCGUAACACCUGAUGACUAAAUGGAUCGACGGCACCAUCGAAUCUCAAACUUUAACUGCCAAAACUAUUGUUUUUCAUCCUGUAGUCCCAUUUAGAAUUAGUAAACGUCCUUUUUUGGGCCGAGAUUUAGAGGAACGCUUUCUCGGGGUUUGUGUGCAAGUAUUUCAAACCAUACGGACCUAAAAAUUAGAAGUCAUUCCAUCUUUAUUCCCCUAGUCAUCAGGUAUACACUCAAGUCGGAGCACGUUAUCAUUCUUGUUAGUUCUGAGUGAAUUCCCUCGGUAUGAUAAUUCUUUCAUAAAUUUGUUCCCCGUUUCUUAUAUGGCCUGAGCCUGACACACUAUUCUAGCUAGACAUGGGUGUGGCUCGUAACACCUGAUGACCAAACGGAUCUACGGCACCAUCAAAUCUCAAACUUUAACUGCCAAAACUAUUCUUUUUCAUUCUGUAGUCCCUUCUAGAAUUACUAAACGUCCUUUUUUGGGCCGAGAUUUCCAGGAACGCUUUCUCGGGGUUUGUGUGCAUGUAUUUCAAACCAUACAGACCUAAAAAUUAUAAGUCAUUCCAUCUUUAUUCCCGUAGAGCCUUCCAGUAGUUCCUAAACCGCUCCAGUCGGAGCAUGUUAUCAUUCUUGUUAGUUCUAAGUGAAUUCCCUCGGUAUGAUAAUUCUUUCAUCAGUUUGUUCCCCGUUUCUUCUCUAGCCUGAGCCUGGCACACUAGUCUAGCUAGACAUGGGUGUGGCUCGUAACACCCGAUGACUAAAUGGAUCGACGGCACCAUCGAAUCUCAAACUUUAACUGCCAAAACUAUUGUUUUUCAUCCUGUAGUCCCAUUUAGAAUUACUAAACGUCCUUUUUUGGGCCGAGAUUUAGAGGAACGCUUUCUCGUGGUUUGUGUGCAAGAAUUUCAAACCAUACGGACCUAAAAAUUAGAAGUCAUUCCAUCUUUAUUCCCCUAGAGCCUUCCAGUAGUUCCUAAACCGCUCUAGUCGGAGCACGUUAUCAUUCUUGUUAGUUCUGAGAGAAUUCCCUCGGUAUGAUAAUUCUUUUAUCAGUUUGUUCCCCGUUUCUUCUCUAGCCUGAGCCCGACACACUAUUCUAGCUAGACAUGGGUGUGGCUCGUAACACCUGAUGACCAAACGGAUCUACGGCACCAUCGAAUCUCAAACUUUAACUGCCAAAACUAUUGUUUUUCAUCCUGUAGUCCCUUUUAGAAUUACUAAAUGUCCUUUUUUGGGCCGAGAUUUCCAGGAACGCUUUCUCAGGGUUUGUGUGCAAGUAAUUCAAACCAUACGGACCUAAAAAUUAGAAGUCAUUCCAUCUUUAUUCCCCUAGAGCCUUCCAGCAGUUCCUAAACCGCUCAAGUCAGUGCACGUUAUCAUUCUUGUUAGUUCUAAGUGAAUUCCCUCGGUAUGAUAAUUUGUUCAUCAGUUUGUUCCCCGUUUCUUCUCUAGCCUGAGCCUGACACACUAUUCUAGCUAGACAUGGGUGUGGCUCGUAACACCUGAUGACCAAACGGAUCUACGACACCAUCGAAUCUCAAACUUUAACUACCAAAACUAUUGUUUUUCAUCCUCUAGUCCCUUUUAGAAUUACUAAACGUCCUUUUUUGGGCCGAGAUUUCCAGGAACGCUUUCUCGGGGUUUGUGUGCAUGUAUUUCAAACCAUACAGACCUAAAAAUUAGAAGUCAUUCCAUCUUUAUUCCCGUAGAGCCUUCCAGCAGUUCCUAAACCGCUCCAGUCGGAGCAUGUUAUCAUUCUUGUUUGUUCUGAGUGAAUUCCCUCGGUAUGAUAAUUCUAUCAUCAGUUUGUUCCCCGUUUCUUCUCUAGCCUGAGCCUGGCAAACUAUUCUAGCUAGACAUGGGUGUGGCUCGUAACACCUGAUGACCAAACGGAUCUACGACACCAUCGAAUCUCAAACUUUAACUACCAAAACUAUUGUUUUUCAUUCUAUAGUCCCUUCUAGAAUUUCUAAACGUCCUUUUUUGGGCCGAGAUUUCCAGGAAUGCUUUCUCGGGGUUUGUGUGCAAGUAUUUCAAAUCAUACGGACCUAAAAAUUAGAAGUCAUUCCAUCUUUAUUCCCCUAGAGCCUUCCAGUAGUUCCUAAACCGCUCCAGUCGGAGCACGUUAUCAUUCUUGUUAGUU
RNAcentral lists this long non-coding RNA (4782 nucleotides) under Triticum aestivum (bread wheat). RNAcentral describes it as "long non-coding RNA (TAES_LNC028121)". The record is from RNAcentral. Lineage: Eukaryota; Viridiplantae; Streptophyta; Magnoliopsida; Poales; Poaceae.